This 533-nucleotide long non-coding RNA is filed under the name Taeniopygia guttata (zebra finch). RNAcentral's name for it is "lncRNA (ENSTGUG00000022403.1)". The record is from RNAcentral. Lineage: Eukaryota; Metazoa; Chordata; Aves; Passeriformes; Estrildidae.
GGUUGUUUCUUAGGCCUGUCCUGUCCAGUGUUAAUUUGUGUGUGAACAUAGACUGUCAUUGCCUGCCUACUUCCCCUGCCUCAUUUUCCAGCUACAUGGAAAACAACCUUAAUUUUAAAAGCAGUCCCUGCACCUGAGAGCAGCAUCAACAAGAGCAAAGUGAGCAAGAAGUCUGAUUAACCACGAGAGAUCAAAAGAGCCGCAGGACUCAAGUUUAGCCACGUGAUUAAGUCACAACCUGAACUGAACAAAGACAUUUUGGGUAGUGUCCAAGAGGAGGAGCUUCAAAUUAGAUGUUUAGCAAACUCAAAAUGAAUAUAUCAAGAGUAUUCGGGAUAAGAGUCUGAAAUAAGAACGUGGGCUACUGUAAUGCACAGCAAGUUAAAAUCUGGGAGAAAAGUGUGACAGAGGACUAUUCCUGGCCUGAAGAGAAGGUAAAAAUUCAAGUAUUAAGUUAAAAAGGUCACUGGGAAAGUGCUGUAGUAACUCUUAGUCAGAGGAAAGCAGGAUUUGGCUGUGUCACAGAGAGAAGC